GGGCUGUGGCUCAGUGGCAGAGCAUCUGCUUGGCAGGCAGAAGGUCCCCAGUUCAAUCCCCAGCAGCAUCU
This 71-nucleotide transfer RNA is filed under the name Sphaerodactylus townsendi. RNAcentral describes it as "tRNA-Ala". It matches the Rfam family "tRNA". From Rfam's summary of the family: Transfer RNA (tRNA) molecules are approximately 80 nucleotides in length. Their secondary structure includes four short double-helical elements and three loops (D, anti-codon, and T loops). The record is from RNAcentral. Lineage: Eukaryota; Metazoa; Chordata; Lepidosauria; Squamata; Sphaerodactylidae.